RNAcentral lists this ribosomal RNA (495 nucleotides) under uncultured bacterium. RNAcentral describes it as "partial 16S ribosomal RNA". It matches the Rfam family "Bacterial small subunit ribosomal RNA", at positions 28 to 507 of the family's 1533-position model. The record is from RNAcentral.
GACGAACGCUGGCGGCGUGCCUAAUACAUGCAAGUAGAACGCUGAAGGAGGAGCUUGCUCUUCUGGAUGAGUUGCGAACGGGUGAGUAACGCGUAGGUAACCUGCCUGGUAGCGGGGGAUAACUAUUGGAAACGAUAGCUAAUACCGCAUAACAGUAGAUGUUGCAUGACAUUUACUUAAAAGGUGCAAUUGCAUCACUACCAGAUGGACCUGCGUUGUAUUAGCUAGUUGGUGGGGUAACGGCUCACCAAGGCGACGAUACAUAGCCGACCUGAGAGGGUGAUCGGCCACACUGGGACUGAGACACGGCCCAGACUCCUACGGGAGGCAGCAGUAGGGAAUCUUCGGCAAUGGACGGAAGUCUGACCGAGCAACGCCGCGUGAGUGAAGAAGGUUUUCGGAUCGUAAAGCUCUGUUGUAAGAGAAGAACGAGUGUGAGAGUGGAAAGUUCACGCUGUGACGGUAUCUUACCAGAAAGGGACGGCUAACUACGUG